GAGUGUGGAGCAGGAAGAAUCCCCUUCUCUCAGGUGGCCCUGAGUGUGGCCACAGCCUUUGAGUGUCUGCCCAGGUGGGCCUUGCCAAGAGGCUGGGUGGCCUGGUCUGGGCAGAAUUCACAGGCCUGAUUCUAGCAGAAUCUCCUGCUGUCUGUUUUGUGGCUGCAGCGGUGGGGGCUCUUAGAGAGCUUCCACUAAGGGUAACUUUGGGUCCUUCUGUUUGCCACAUCUAGAUUCUGCUGCUAAAGGGAAAUUUUCUAGUUCACCUGGGAGCAAUUGGAAAAUGGCACAGAAUAGGAGAGGAGAGCAAAGGUGCUGAACAGAAACUUCUUUAUGGGACAGACAGAGCCUUAUGUUCCUGAGUUGCUCUCAUCUCUAAUGAUGUUAUUUUUAAAAAGGAAAACCAGUUUGGCUAUUAAGGGAACCUGUCGACACAGAGCAGAGCAAGAUAAGGCCAGGUUUCAGAGAGAAUAG
Molecule: long non-coding RNA, 474 nt
Filed under: Callithrix jacchus (white-tufted-ear marmoset)
Lineage: Eukaryota; Metazoa; Chordata; Mammalia; Primates; Cebidae
Description: lncRNA (ENSCJAG00000069802.1)
Source: RNAcentral